Molecule: long non-coding RNA, 133 nt
Organism: Poecilia latipinna (sailfin molly)
Lineage: Eukaryota; Metazoa; Chordata; Actinopteri; Cyprinodontiformes; Poeciliidae
Exons: 3
Source: RefSeq, a predicted model, not a curated record
AAACUCCUGCCUUUUGGUGGCAAAAUACACGGCUGCUUGUUCAGGGCUCUUAUCUAGAGAACUACAGACCAGCCCCGGCUCCAGACGAGUUUAACAGGGGGGGGCAUCGACUUAGUUUGGGGGGGCAAAAUUA